Molecule: long non-coding RNA, 1746 nt
Organism: Elaeis guineensis (African oil palm)
Lineage: Eukaryota; Viridiplantae; Streptophyta; Magnoliopsida; Arecales; Arecaceae
Source: RefSeq, a predicted model, not a curated record
AAUUUGAAUUGGUGCAUAUAGGUGGAAUAUAUUGUAUAUAUUGAAGGAAAAGAUAUUUAAGAUAUUAGAGAAAAUUGAUAAAUUAAAUAAAAUAUCUUUUUGUUUUUAUCUGGAUGCAUAUCAUAAUGCAAAACAAUAUAAAUAUCUAUGCUUUAUUUUGGUAUGAUAAUACAUCUCAAAAAAAUUAAAACCAGUUGCUAAUGUAAUUAAGAUGGACACAAAGAUCAUUGGUAGAAAAGUCGAAAUAUGGUAGUGACGGUGAUAGGCCAAUUUAUUGGGCUUUACGGCUUGGGCGUUUACUAUAAUAUUUAAUGAAGAAUAAAUUGGGAUUUUUCAAAUAUCCGUAGGAUAAAAUUGUGACUUUUCAAAAUACAUCUUCUUACUACCAAUAAAAAAAUAAUAAAGAUUCUUGACUUUGACCCGAUCUCAGGUGACAUUGGACCGACAUCCAAUCAGAGAGGUAAUUGUUGCAAUCGGUUGGAUUGAGUCGAUGGAAAAUAUUUUAGAUGUAUUGAAUCAGCUUAUUAUAAUUUAGACUCGAAACCCAAAAUAUCUGAGUCAAGUUUGCAUUUGAGAUUAUAUUUAUUUACUAAAAAAAAUAUUUUUAUUGUUAAAUAAAAUUGAAUUUUUAUUAUUAUAAAAUUAUCCGUUAAUAUGAUCAAAAUUUCAUAAGUUAAUAUUUAUUUAAAAUUAUAAUUUACUGUAAAAAUUUAUGAAGUCCACAUCCGAUUUGAAUUAUAAAAUAGAUCUAAUAUUUAACUAAAACAAAUUUGGUAAAGUCUACUUGAAUUGGGUCAAAUCAGCUUAUUGAUCAACCGGAUCCAUUUAUAGUUUAGAAAAAAAAGUUGGUUGAAAGCGCUAAGUAAAAUAUUUCAAGGAUGAUUAUUUUUAGAAAGGAUUUGGAGACCCGUUCUAUCUACAAUAUAACUAAUUUAGGGGCAUAGCAUGUCAAGUUGUCACCUUAGAACUGCAAAAUUGAAAAGAAUCUUUUUUUUAAUAAUAGAAUAUCGAUCUAGUCAGGAUCGUUCGGUAGCAUGAACUGAAUCUUUCUGGAUCGGUGAAAACAAAAUCUUAUGACAAAUAAAUUGCAGUUAGCAAGCAAAUUGUUUUUGUUUGAAGCAAAAUAAUAAGCUAAUUGUUUUUGUUUGAAGCAAAAUAAUAAGCUAACAGUAACAUUUAGCACGUACAUAUCAAUUAGCAAAUUAAUAAAAAGAACACUGACUUUCGUACAAACAUAUAUAGUCUAUCAGCAAAUUAUUCAGAAAGGAAAAGGCAAAAAGUAUUAAAAAAAAUUCUAUAAAGAAAAAAAGGAAAAACAUUCAGCUGAGACCCAUUUGCAAUCAACGAAUCGCACCACCUGAUUCGACCCGGAGGAUGCCUUUAUUUUGGCGCGAACGUCUCAUUGUCCUGAUGGAUGCGUUCGGGAAUUCUUCGUCGACGAUAAAGUGGUCCGGGUGGAGAACAUCUUCUUAGAAUUCCUUAAGAGAUUCAAGCGAUGAUGGUCCAAGGAAUCCACCAUGUGAUUCGAGGCCUAUCUAUGACAUGCUUGGAAGACGUUCGUGAUGGACACAAAUAGAGCGAGAAUAGGCUGCCUUCAUCUCCGAUGACAGCCAUAAUAAAGACAUAAGUGUCGCCUUCUAUAAUAUCCCAUUGUUGAAGAGGUAUUGCCGGGGUCUUUGAUUUUCUGUGCCUUUCGAAAGUUCCCCCUAUUUUCCUUCCAUUUACUGGAAAUUGCUUCUUUUACUA